CGUGAAUAAUAUCUCGUAAGAGUAAUAUUCUAAAGUUUCAAGUUCCUAAAGCGCGGCACAAGUGUAAUUUUAAGCGUUUUCAAUGGCGGUUCCCAGGGAAGAAUAACGAUCUUUCAUCGCCGAUGUCGUGAAAAGGGAAGGGAGGGUAAUGACGGGAGCGGGCUCGCGUAUUAGGAAACAAGUUUAAGGCCGUUGGUGGUUGAGGAGCCUCGAAACUGCGUCCGUGGCGCGGGGAGGCCCCCGAUAUUAUUACUAUGUAAAUCACCCCCUCUGCACGCUGACGCCCACGGUGACAGCCUCCCGAGUGGCCCACGACGCACAAUGGAUGAGCUCCGGCUUCUUAUUAGAUAUUCCUAUGCGCCAUCCCUCCGAUCUGCAAACACACGUUCUUCCCCCCCAUCUCGAUACACGUUAUAUAUCCGCGCUCCUUGGUGGUCGAGUCGGGCGGAUUUUAUGGAAAAUGGUGGCCUCGAUUUAAUCAAAAAUUGUCGGCCGAAUGCAUUGACGUUUCCUUCCGAUUUCGAUAGUUAUUAUUCGAGAUUAUUAUUUAUGAGAGAAGAAAGAAAAUUUGUAUGGAAUAAUAUGGAUAAUUGUGAGAAUUAUUUAGAAAAGAUGUGUUUUUGCGGUGAAAGAAUUCAAUUCGAUUUUAAUUACAUUGCGGUACUAUAAUUACAGUUACCUGUCGAAUUCUAUUUCCAUUCUGAAUAAUUUCUUUUUGUCAAAAUCCUUUGUACAUAAGAUAUCCUUUCUUUAAAAAAAAAAAAAAAAGAAGAAGAAGAAAUCAUGCGAAUUAGAAUCGUGGAUUUAAUUGCAAAAUUUUCCAAAGAAUGAUUAUUGAUUAGAAUAUCAAGAGACAAGCAUAAACUGUGCAUAACGAGUUUGGUAAACAAUAUAAAAGGGGUCGAAAGAGGAAGGGUUGCUGCCCUUGGGAUAAAAGGGUUCGCGGUCUGACCCGACAGAUACUUUGACGUCUUUCUCCAUAAAACACAAUGUUAAUUAACGAACAGGAGACGCCCUCUCGCGGAGAUCCCUGGCUACAUUCGCGACUCUCAAUCAACGGCGGUAUUCAUGAGCCUAUCACGACGCUCAGACGCACGACUAAAUUAUGCAAACUAAGUAUAGAACGUUUUAUGAACGAAAGUAUCAAGAUGCCUUUGCGAAACGGUUUUUCACUGUCUAUACCAAGUGCACACUGUUUGUUCGAGUUUGAAAAGAAGAGUUUGAUUUUUACUUGUUGUUCACUUCGAUCGUUGGAUACGAUUAUCGAUGCGUGGAAAUUAGAACUCGUCCAGAUGGAAUCAUUUUGUUCGAGUUAACCAUCGUAAUAGUCUAUAUAUAUAUCGACGACUCGAUACCAGGAAAAGUAGUUGGAAAAUACAGGUUAGGAAUUGGGUUGACACGGAUGAAUAAUGUAUCUUGAUGAUUUCAUUUCACGUUUCGGUUCGAAGAAUUUAUUCUUUCAGAAGAAUUUCGAUCAGGAUCAAGAGACGUGGACACAUGAAUUUCAUCAUAAAUUGGCAAGAUGUUCGAAAAAUCUAUAAUUAACCCGAUUAAUUGACAAAACUGGACGCGCAACGUACAUCCUAUCCCGUGUAAUCGUUCUGUGGAGAGGAACAAAGACAGAGAAAUCUCAAAAUGGUGGUCGUACAAAGCGAAGGACGUACACGAUAAUUUCACCCGUGUGUGCGCAAUCUUAUUCACGAUAUCGACGUCUCCGUACAGGUGAAUUCACUCUGAUUACAGAUUCAGCCAACCUGAAAAUUACGCGGUCGAUUCUCCGUGACGAGCAACGGAAUGAGAGAGAGGGAGAGAGAGAGAGAGAGAAGGUGAUGAAGUCGAAUCAUGUAUUCAUGAGAAAGAGAGAGAGAUUGAUAAACACAACAUCACGUAAUUUCGCUUAUAAGAUCAAAUUACAGUCGGCGUCGAAUUAAAGACCGUUCAUUUUCUGCCUGUUUAUUCGCGAUUCAUUCGUAAAAUGUGUACCAUAGUCUUGAAUCCAAGUACCGAUUUACGUCGAUUCGCGUCAUGUUUUUAAUGCUACAACUUGAACGAGCGUCGUUUAAGCGUCGUGGAAUUACUAAAAGGAAAAUAAGACCUUGCCACUCUCUUCGAUUAACUCGAUCGAUAAUUCUUAUUAGUUCGAAGGAAUUCAUUCGGAAAUUGAAACGUUUUUUCUCCUUCGAUAAAAUUUUUCACUGUGGAGGAGCAUAGAUGGCGUAACCAUCGGAACAAAUGCGCAUCUCCAAACCUCGAUAAAUCCCCUAUAUCCAAUUCAACCAAUCGGAAAAAAGAAAGAAAGAAAAGAGAGAAAAACUGGUAGAGGCUUCAAUUUCCUCGUCACGAAGCGGGCCAACAAAAGCAUUCCGGCCAGAUAAAUUUCUACGUUGGUCGCUUUUCGCGUCAGCCCUUCGACAACCUUCAAGUUCCUCACAAAGAAGGGAACACAGCGAUGGCGGUGGGCAGUGGUGUAGGCAGGUCCCUCGGGAAUCUUUCUCUCUCUCUCUCUCCAUCUUUCAUCUCUUUCUCCAUCGGCCACCGGCACAAAAGAAAGAAGAGGAUAGAUGAUUGAAGAGAGAACGAGUGAGAGUGAGAGAGAGAGAGAAAGGGACAUCUUGCUCCGCAGGACUCUCGCUCUCGCCACCGGCGCCCCCGCUAUUUAUUUUCCAGGAUUUCAGAGUCCGAAGCCAUUAAUCUCCGCUCCGCAGCGUCAGUGGAGCGCGUCAGGGCGACGUCGGGGUGCGUGGCGUCGGCGACGUCGCUCUGCUCUUAGCCGCAGAGCCUCGUGUACACCGUCGUGGCAGCCUGCUGUUGAGGGAGAGGGAGAAAUGGGAGAGAGAGAAGAAAGAACGAAAAGAUGAGGUGUCGGUGAAAGAAGAGAGAGGUGAACGUGGAGCGAGAGAAAGAAGGAGUGGAGGGAGAGAGGGAGGGGAAAGCGGCCGGAGAGGGGGAGUCGGUGAGAGACAUGGGAAGUUCUGUAAGGUUUGGAGGGGGGUGCUGAUGGCGGCGACGAGGGAGGGGAACUCCUACGGCCAAGUUAUGCAAAAAACGUCUAUUCGUGAAAGGAUGAUACCGUGCUGGAAGGUGGAAAGGCAUUAGUAUCUAAGAAUUUUGCGGUGAUGGCCUUUUGAUGUCCAUCCCAAUUCCAGUAUUCCGGUUUAACGCUCCGGUUUAUCGCGUUAAAGAAAUUGGAAUUGGAAUCUGAAAAUAUUUAUGACUCUUAUUGAUCCCCGAGAUAUAUCGGAGGCAUGCCGAUGAAUGAGUUGAAAAGCCAAGAGAGAUCUCUAUCGGCGCUUAAUCGUUAACAAGAACGAGAGAUCCAGCAUCUCGUAAGACAUUAAUCGCUCGAAAGUGACGCUGCCAACCGCAAUAACAACAACAACAACAACAACAACAACAACAACAACAACUGGGAUACCUGUUGGAUAUAUUCGAAAGUCUUGGUGGAAUGUGUGAAGAUGGCCAUUAUAUAGCCGAGUACGGGUUAAAUUAUAUUAAAUACUAAAUAA
Molecule: long non-coding RNA, 3506 nt
Filed under: Apis mellifera (honey bee)
Lineage: Eukaryota; Metazoa; Arthropoda; Insecta; Hymenoptera; Apidae
Description: uncharacterized LOC102655509
Source: RNAcentral